UUUCCGCUUCCGGUUGGAUUGUUGACCAUGGCGGCCUUGAGGAGGGUGGCGGGCUUGCAGAGGUUGCUGGGGUUACCGGUUCGUGCGGUCUCCUCCGGCCGAACAGCGAAUUCCACGGUUUCUGCCCGGAUUCCCCCGGCCUCUCGCCCUCUGGAGGUGGUUGAAUGGCACCCAAUGGAGAAGGAGAAGGAGAAGAGCCCUUUCGUCAAGGCCCAGACAGAAUCCAUGAAGGUCCUGUUCCGUCUUAGUUCAGCGUGCCCAUGAAUGUGUCCAUUGGCUUCCAUGUGGUUUCGAGGAAGCGGUGAAAACAAAAUCCAGACUUUCAUGGCUUCCAUGAAGAUCCUGUUAUUGAUGUGCAGUAUAUGCAUGUUAGCUUCUUCUUUGGAAUAUCUAUUUGCCUUGUAUUGGGCAGCACCUUCCUGUAUUAUCUGCCUGACCAAAAGUAAGAUUCACAAGCUAAAUGUUGUUUUC
Python bivittatus (Burmese python) is the source of this 471-nucleotide non-coding RNA. The record is from RefSeq and is a predicted model, not a curated record. Lineage: Eukaryota; Metazoa; Chordata; Lepidosauria; Squamata; Pythonidae.